UACAGAGGGUGCGAGCGUUAAUCGGAAUUACUGGGCGUAAAGCGUGCGUAGACGGCUAUCUAAGUCGGGUGUGAAAGCCCCGGGCUCAACCUGGGAAUUGCAUUGGAUACUGGGAAACUUGAAUACGGGAGAGGGUAGUGGAAUUCCUAGUGUAGGAGUGAAAUCCGUAGAUAUUAGGAGGAACACCGGUGGCGAAGGCGGCUACCUGGACCGAUAUUGACGCUGAGACGCGAAAGCGUGGGGAGCAAACAGG
Molecule: ribosomal RNA, 253 nt
Filed under: uncultured bacterium
Lineage: Bacteria
Description: partial 16S ribosomal RNA
Rfam family: Bacterial small subunit ribosomal RNA
Source: RNAcentral